UACGUAGGGACCAAGCGUUGUUCGGAUUUACUGGGCGUAAAGGGCGCGUAGGCGGCAUGUUAAGUCAGCUGUGAAAUCUCCGAGCUUAACUCGGAACUGUCAGCUGAUACUGAUGUGCUAGAGUGCAGAAGGGGCAAUCGGAAUUCUUGGUGUAGCGGUGAAAUGCGUAGAUAUCGAGAGGAACACCUGCGGCGAAGGCGGGUUGCUGGGCUGACACUGACGCUGAGGCGCGAAAGCCAGGGGAGCGAACGGG
This 253-nucleotide ribosomal RNA is filed under the name uncultured bacterium. RNAcentral describes it as "partial 16S ribosomal RNA". It matches the Rfam family "Bacterial small subunit ribosomal RNA", at positions 524 to 776 of the family's 1533-position model. The record is from RNAcentral.